UUCUCGGCCUUUUGGCUAAGAUCAAGUGUAGUAUCUGUUCUUAUCAGUUUAAUAUCUGAUACGUGAGUCAUUGACUCACAUGAUAUUAAAUUAGUUUUUUGAGGGGGAAGAGUCGCUGCAAUAGCUUGCUAUUGGGUUCUUCAAGCGUCGUCCAUGCGUUGCACUACUGCAAGGACCCGGCGCACCCCACCAACUCAUAAUUUAAGUUUUCAAAUGACACUAUCCCUUACCAGUGAGAGUGAAAAACAAGCACUGAGGCACGAAAUUUAUGAAGCUACUUUUAAAUGUAAGUCUCACUCCCACAUUGCUUAUUUAUAAUAUAUAAUUCGCCUCUAUAUAUUCACUAUAAGCAGCUGGAGAUCGCCGGGCCUGGCAACGCGGGCUUGUCACUCAAGUGGGGGCAUUAAGAUGGUUGGAGGUUGGAAAGGUUCGGAAGGUUGGGCUCCGAGAAGGGUUUAAAAUCUGAUCCGCCCGUUCCAAGAGGAGAGUUUGAGCUGCGUGCCCUUCAGCGUAGGCUUUGAGGCCCGCCUCUCUUAGAGCGGAGGGGACCUCGUGAGGCUGGAAACAGAGCAACGAAAAACCUCCCGCUCUCUUCAGUGGAAGGAUUACGGGCCGGUGCUCUUCAGGUCCAUUAACGCCUGAUGGGACCCUCCUCAAUUCAACAACCAUCUUUU
This is a non-coding RNA of Carica papaya (papaya), 674 nucleotides long. NCBI's taxonomy places the organism in Eukaryota, Viridiplantae, Streptophyta, Magnoliopsida, Brassicales, Caricaceae. The record is from RefSeq and is a predicted model, not a curated record.